GAGGAAUAUUGGUCAAUGGACGAGAGUCUGAACCAGCCAAGUAGCGUGAAGGAUGACUGCCCUAUGGGUUGUAAACUUCUUUUAUACGGGAAUAAAGUUAGCCACGUGUGGCUUUUUGUAUGUACCGUAUGAAUAAGGAUCGGCUAACUCCGUGCCAGCAGCCGCGGUAAUACGGAGGAUCCGAGCGUUAUCCGGAUUUAUUGGGUUUAAAGGGAGCGUAGGCGGGUUGUUAAGUCAGUUGUGAAAGUUUGCGGCUCAACCGUAAAAUUGCAGUUGAUACUGGCGACCUUGAGUGCAACAGAGGUAGGCGGAAUUCGUGGUGUAGCGGUGAAAUGCUUAGAUAUCACGAAGAACUCCGAUUGCGAAGGCAGCUUACUGGAUUGUAACUGACGCUGAUGCUCGAAAGUGUGGGUAUCAAACAGGAUUAGAUACCCUGGUAGUCCACACAGUAAACGAUGAAUACUCGCUGUUGGCGAUAUACGGUCAGCGGCCAAGCGAAAGCGUUAAGUAUUCCACCUGGGGAGUACGCCGGCAACGGUGAAACUCAAAGGAAUUGACGGGGGCCCGCACAAGCGGAGGAACAUGUGGUUUAAUUCGAUGAUACGCGAGGAACCUUACCCGGGCUUGAAUUGCAACUGAAUGAUGUGGAGACAUGUCAGCCGCAAGGCAGUUGUGAAGGUGCUGCAUGGUUGUCGUCAGCUCGUGCCGUGAGGUGUCGGCUUAAGUGCCAUAACGAGCGCAACCCUUAUCGAUAGUUACCAUCAGGUUAUGCUGGGGACUCUGUCGAGACUGCCGUCGUAAGAUGUGAGGAAGGUGGGGAUGACGUCAAAUCAGCACGGCCCUUACGUCCGGGGCUACACACGUGUUACAAUGGGGGGUACAGAAGGCAGCUACACGGCGACGUGAUGCUAAUCCCUAAAGCCUCUCUCAGUUCGGAUUGGAGUCUGCAACCCGACUCCAUGAAGCUGGAUUCGCUAGUAAUCGCGCAUCAGCCACGGCGCGGUGAAUACGUUCCCG
This 1017-nucleotide ribosomal RNA is filed under the name uncultured organism. RNAcentral describes it as "bacterial SSU rRNA". It matches the Rfam family "Bacterial small subunit ribosomal RNA", at positions 356 to 1376 of the family's 1533-position model. The record is from RNAcentral.